This is a long non-coding RNA of Lathyrus oleraceus (garden pea), 1371 nucleotides long. RefSeq lists it as uncharacterized. NCBI's taxonomy places the organism in Eukaryota, Viridiplantae, Streptophyta, Magnoliopsida, Fabales, Fabaceae. The transcript has 2 exons. The record is from RefSeq and is a predicted model, not a curated record.
AAUCCGUUUGGGCCUUAGGCCCAAACCUGAUCCACUGCCAUCAACAUGAAUCCACAAUGUUGAGACCAAAACUAGGAAGCGAUUAAGCUGAAAAACCUCCAUCCACGUGAGCGAAAUCCCAAAAUCACUUAUCAAGAAGCGCAUAUGCAAAAAGCCAAGUCAGCACCGUGUUAGACGUUCAUCCAUCGACUUCCAAGUGUUCAAGGCUUCGUAUUCGAAAAACUCGACUCGCUGCUCAUGAUUCGCGUCUCAACCGUUCUAAGCUCCUUGCAUCAUCGUCGCGUGAGGGUGUCGUGUUCGUCACAACUCCUCAUGGCAUCGCUUUCUUCAUCAGCCUUUAAUCGCGUCCAGGGAGAUCGAAGCAACAAGGAGUGCGUCGCGCUUAUGCAUCAGGCGUCUCAGAGCGUCAUCUUCGAAUUGGUGGAUCGUGCCACAAGUUUCUCAUUGUGUUUACAUAUUCGUAACGGCGAUGACGCCACAUUCGUGCGUCAAGGAUCCAAAUUGAGUUAUUCAAAGCUUAAAUAAACAUGGACUUACUGGCUUCGAAUCGACGGCAAAAACAGGUACGAAUCCUUGCUUCUUUAAGCUUCUUCUUCACGUAUCCUUCUUCUUCAAUUUCGUUUUCUUCUUCUGUUCUUGCGUUUUCCUUUCUUUGUAUCUUGCUGAGCAAUGUGGUGGAUGCGAGGUUGUUGCGGAUGAAACGAGUGAGACUUGGAGAUGCUUGGUACAGAACUGAGUGAUUGUCGAGUGGGAUGAUUUGGCAGAAUGAAGAUGCAUGUGAUACAAGAUGAAGAAAGAAGGUUGAAGAACGAAGAAUCGAUGGAGAGUGAAGAAAAUAAAUGAUGAAAAACCCCCCUCAAUCCUAGAUUUUGUUUUCUCUUUCAAUUUGGUGUGGCUUGGCUUGGCUUCUUGGAGCGUUUGCAGCUUAUGCAGUUGCGGCUUCGGACUGGUUUGGAUGCUUGAGUGUCGUUUGGAAGCUUGGCUUGUGUUGCAGCUGUUUGGCUUUAUGUAGCCUUAUGCAGCUUAUGCAUCUUUCAACUUUCUGCUGCGUUUUAUCGUUACCUGCGUUUGGUGUUGUUUCCUCCAUGUUGCAUCUUCACUCUUUUUUUGUCUUAUUCGAAACCAUCCUUGGGCUUGGGGAAUUUGGAUUAUGGGCUUAUGCUUGGGGCUCAAUUAGACUUUAGAAUGGAUAUUGAAUAAAAUUGGAUUGGUUAAGUGGUUUUGGCUAUUGGGUUAUUGGUUUCAAUGUAUUAUUGAAUUAAAAAAGUCUACUGGAUUAGAAAUUGGUCAAUUGAUUUUUAAAUGGAUGUUAAAUUGGAAAUUGGAUUUAAUUGGACAAAUGGAUUGGUAAUAUGGACAUGGUUUAUGUUA